ACGGCUCAGGAGUACGGAGGCCUACGUGCUCCUGAGAGCAUAGCAGCCCUGCUAUAUAUAUAUAUAUAUAUAUAUAGUUGAGCUAGAAUACUUUCAAAAGCACCAAAGAGAUUGUGCUUUUGAGUUUUUAGCCUCUGGAUGGAGAAAUGUAGGGUUGAGAUGAUGGUUGUAGGUGGUGGUAGGUGGUGGUAGGUAGAAUAGUGUUUGAUCCAAGGGGUAUUAAUAAUUAAGGAGUAGAUCCAAAAUCUAGAAAUUUAGAAGCACCAAGGGGUUGGUGCUUCUAAAAGUAUUCUAGCUCAA
Molecule: long non-coding RNA, 300 nt
Filed under: Ananas comosus (pineapple)
Lineage: Eukaryota; Viridiplantae; Streptophyta; Magnoliopsida; Poales; Bromeliaceae
Description: long non-coding RNA (ACOM_LNC041284)
Source: RNAcentral